GAAAUGCGAUAAGUAAUGUGAGUUGCAGAAUUCAGUGAAUCAUCGAAUCUUUGAACGCACCUUGCGCUCCUUGGUAUUCCUUGGAGCAUGCCUGUUUGAGUAUCAUGAAAUCUUCAAAGUAAAUCUUUUGUUAACUCAAUUGGUUUCUACUUUGGUAUUGGAGGUCUUUGCAGCUUCACACCUGCUCCUCUUUGUUCAUUAGCUGGAUCUCAGUGUUAUGCUUGGUUCCACUCGGCGUGAUAAGUUAUCUAUCGCUGAGGACACUGUAAAAGGUGGCCAAGGUAAAUGCAGAUGAACCGCUUCUAAUAGUCCAUUGACUUGGACAAUACUUUUAUGAUCUGAUCUCAAAUCAGGUAGGACUACCCGCUGAACUUAAGC
RNAcentral lists this unclassified non-coding RNA (378 nucleotides) under plant metagenome. RNAcentral describes it as "partial contains 5.8S ribosomal RNA, internal transcribed spacer 2, and large subunit ribosomal RNA". The stretch from base 1 to 105 matches the Rfam family "5.8S ribosomal RNA", at positions 50 to 154 of the family's 154-position model. The record is from RNAcentral.